AAAAUGCGAUAAGUAAUGUGAAUUGCAGAAUUUCGUGAAUCAUCAAAUCUUUGAACGCACAUUGCGCCUUCUGGUAAUCCGGGAGGCAUGCCUGUCUGAGCGUCAUUACACCAUUCAAACCUUAUGCUUUUUGCUUAGUGGUUUGGUUUUGGAAGUAGGCGAAAUUGGAUUUUUUUUUAAAUCAAAUUGAGCCUCUUUUGUAAUGUAUUGACGAGUACCUAUUGUCUUAGUUGUCGCAAGAAAUUAUUUUUGUCAACUUCAAGAUAACAGAUAAAAUAAGUCUCCCUUUUUUUGUCCUACUAUUUUUUUUUUAGUAAGACUCUCAAAAGUUUGACCUCAGAUCAGGUAGGAAUACCCGCUGAACUUAA
Molecule: unclassified non-coding RNA, 368 nt
Filed under: uncultured Chalara
Lineage: Eukaryota; Fungi; Ascomycota; Leotiomycetes; Helotiales
Description: sequence contains ITS1
Rfam family: 5.8S ribosomal RNA (bases 1-105)
Source: RNAcentral